Saprolegnia diclina VS20 is the source of this 222-nucleotide small nucleolar RNA. It matches the Rfam family "Small nucleolar RNA U3". From Rfam's summary of the family: Small nucleolar RNAs (snoRNAs) are involved in the processing and modification of rRNA in the nucleolus. There are two main classes of snoRNAs: the box C/D class, and the box H/ACA class. NCBI's taxonomy places the organism in Eukaryota, Oomycota, Saprolegniomycetes, Saprolegniales, Saprolegniaceae. The record is from Rfam.
AAGACCGUACUUAUACAGGAUCAAAUUCUUUAGUAUUGGCUCUGUUCUACUUUGUUUUCAAAGUUGACAUCACAAAUGACUUUGAUGAUCGUAUGUGACCACGUCCGUUGACUCGGGAUGUCGGCCAGAAACUCGAAUUGAGUUUUGAGUUGCUGGCUCUUGAUGAACGUCCACCGUUGCUAUUCCAAGACGGUGUGAGCGGACGCUGGUGUUAUGAGAAGU